GACGAACGCUGGCGGCGUGCCUAAUACAUGCAAGUCGAGCGAAGUUUUUCUGGUGCUUGCACUAGAAAAACUUAGCGGCGAACGGGUGAGUAACACGUAAAGAACCUGCCUCAUAGACUGGGACAACUAUUGGAAACGAUAGCUAAUACCGGAUAACAGUAUUUCUCGCAUGAGAGAUAUUUAAAAGUUGGUUAUGCUAACACUAUGAGAUGGCCUUGCGGUGCAUUAGCUAGUUGGUGGGGUAAAGGCCCACCAAGGCGACGAUGCAUAGCCGACCUGAGAGGGUGAUCGGCCACACUGGGACUGAGACACGGCCCAGACUCCUACGGGGGGCAGCAGUAGGGAAUCUUCCGCAAUGGGCGAAAGCCUGACGGAGCAACGCCGCGUGAGUGAAGAAGGAUUUCGGUUCGUAAAGCUCUGUUGUUAGGGAAGAAUGGAUAUGUAGUAACUAUACAUGUAAGAGACGGUACCUAACCAGAAAGCCACGGCUAACUACGUG
This 499-nucleotide ribosomal RNA is filed under the name uncultured bacterium. RNAcentral's name for it is "partial 16S ribosomal RNA". It matches the Rfam family "Bacterial small subunit ribosomal RNA", at positions 28 to 507 of the family's 1533-position model. The record is from RNAcentral.